Molecule: ribosomal RNA, 241 nt
Filed under: uncultured bacterium
Lineage: Bacteria
Description: partial 16S ribosomal RNA
Rfam family: Bacterial small subunit ribosomal RNA
Source: RNAcentral
CGACCGGCGCACGGGUGAGUAACGCGUAUGUAAUCUACCUGUAACAGAGGGAUAACCCGGAGAAAUCCGGACUAAUACCUCAUAGCACAUAUUAUUCGCAUGAAUUUUAUGUUAAAGAGACUCGGUUACAGAUGAACAUGCGUUCCAUUAGCUAGUUGGCGGGGUUACGGCCCACCAAGGCAACGAUGGAUAGGGGUUCUGAGAGGAAGGUCCCCCACAUUGGAACUGAGACACGGCCCAA